UUUUAUGAAUUUACAUUUUGGUCAUUGCUUCUAAUUUGUUUGUUUGCCUUCUUCUUCUUCUUCCAUCUCUAUUUUUUGUUCUCCUCUUUUUUGUUGUAGACUACAUGGAUAAUGCUAUGAAAAGUACAUGGAUAAUGCUAUGAAAAAUAUCACAGCACCUAACAAUCACAAAUUCCCCAAUUUAUAACAUAUCAAAAACCCUAAUAUUGAUUCCCCAAUUGCCUUCUUCUUGCUCUUCCUCUCUGCGUGAAAGCAAAACCCAGCACCCAUAGACCCAAAAUCAAUUUUUCACCAUUCCUGGCAAUUAAGAAUCAUUGUAUGUGAAAUAUUUGGAAUAGAUAUCCAUCAAAAUUAUCCAUGAGCGGAGAAACAUAGGUUUCCACCGUCGCCGCCGUUGCAAUCUAAUUACCAAAAUUCAAUUUGUACGCAGAUAACAUUCUUGAUAAGGUUUCCACCUUCGCCACCGUUGCAAUCUAAUUACCAAAAUUCAAGAUGAACCGUUGCCACCGCCGUUGCAAUCUGUAACCCCCACCGUCUGUUUCAGUUUUCUUCUCACACUGCCGUCAGUUAUCUAGUUCAUUGCCUGUCAAAUAGAGAUGGAAGAAGAAGAAGGCAAACAAACAAAUUAGAAGCAAUGACCAAAAUGUAAAUUCAUAAAAUAUAAUACUUAAAAUAUAAUUAAUUUAAAAN
RNAcentral lists this long non-coding RNA (690 nucleotides) under Trifolium pratense (red clover). Its description in RNAcentral is "long non-coding RNA (TPRA_LNC008258)". Lineage: Eukaryota; Viridiplantae; Streptophyta; Magnoliopsida; Fabales; Fabaceae. The record is from RNAcentral.